This 215-nucleotide long non-coding RNA is filed under the name Lathyrus oleraceus (garden pea). RNAcentral describes it as "Pisum sativum (pea) long non-coding RNA (PSAT_LNC032776)". The record is from RNAcentral. Lineage: Eukaryota; Viridiplantae; Streptophyta; Magnoliopsida; Fabales; Fabaceae.
AUCGCUCUGGUUUUGCGUACGUUCUACUGACAUAGCACUGCAUUAUGACACACACUGAGGCACAUUUUUGUUGUUUAACCUUGAGCCUUUCCAGCCACCCUUGUACGUUUUAUCCGUUGCGAACCCCUUUGAGCCUUUAACCAUUUUGUUUGUUUGUAAACCGCUUAUGUUACCCUAUGGCCAGAAAAAGAAAAAAAAAAUAUAAUAAUCUCUUC